AGAGUUUGAUCCUGGCUCAGGAUGAACGCUGGCGGCGUGCCUAACACAUGCAAGUCGAGCGAUUCUCUUCGGAGAAGAGCGGCGGACGGGUGAGUAACGCGUGGGUAACCUGCCCUGUACACACGGAUAACAUACCGAAAGGUAUGCUAAUACGAGAUAAUAUACUUUUAUCGCAUGGUAGAAGUAUCAAAGCUUUUGCGGUACAGGAUGGACCCGCGUCUGAUUAGCUAGUUGGUAAGGUAACGGCUUACCAAGGCGACGAUCAGUAGCCGACCUGAGAGGGUGAUCGGCCACAUUGGAACUGAGACACGGUCCAAACUCCUACGGGAGGCAGCAGUGGGGAAUAUUGCACAAUGGGCGAAAGCCUGAUGCAGCAACGCCGCGUGAGCGAUGAAGGCCUUCGGGUCGUAAAGCUCUGUCCUCAAGGAAGAUAAUGACGGUACUUGAGGAGGAAGCCCCGGCUAACUACGUGCCAGCAGCCGCGGUAAUACGUAGGGGGCUAGCGUUAUCCGGAAUUACUGGGCGUAAAGGGUGCGUAGGUGGUUUCUUAAGUCAGAGGUGAAAGGCUACGGCUCAACCGUAGUAAGCCUUUGAAACUGGGAAACUUGAGUGCAGGAGAGGAGAGUGGAAUUCCUAGUGUAGCGGUGAAAUGCGUAGAUAUUAGGAGGAACACCAGUUGCGAAGGCGGCUCUCUGGACUGUAACUGACACUGAGGCACGAAAGCGUGGGGAGCAAACAGGAUUAGAUACCCUGGUAGUCCACGCCGUAAACGAUGAGUACUAGCUGUCGGAGGUUACCCCCUUCGGUGGCGCAGCUAAC
RNAcentral lists this ribosomal RNA (819 nucleotides) under uncultured bacterium. RNAcentral describes it as "bacterial SSU rRNA". It matches the Rfam family "Bacterial small subunit ribosomal RNA", at positions 8 to 856 of the family's 1533-position model. The record is from RNAcentral.